AGAGAAAUUUGGAUUAAUCCCCCAUAGUACCAUUGAAUCGCAUGGUUUAAUGGUUAAAGGUUACGGUAAGAGAUGGGCAUGCGUCCCAUUAGUUAGUUGGUGAGGUAAAAGCUCACCAAGGCUACGACGGAUAGCUGGUCUGAGAGGACGAUCAGCCACACUGGGACUGAGACACGGCCCAGACUCCUACGGGAGGCUGCAGCAGGGAAUAUUGCGCAAUGAGCGAAAGCUUGACGCAGCGACACCGCGUGUGGGAUGACGGAUCUAGGUUUGUAAACCACUUUCAGGAGGGAAGAAAAUGACGGUACCUCCACAAGAAGCCCCGGCCAACUACGUGCCAGCAGCCGCGGUAAUACGUAGGGGGCGAGCGUUGUCCGGAUUUAUUGGGCGUAAAGAGCUCGUAGGCGGUUCAACAAGUCGGUCGUGAAAGUUCAGGGCUCAACCCUGAAAUGUCGAUCGAUACUGUUGUGACUAGGAUACGGUAGAGGUGAGUGGAAUUCCGAGUGUAGCGGUGAAAUGCGUAGAUAUUCGGAGGAACACCAAUAGCGAAGGCAGC
RNAcentral lists this ribosomal RNA (556 nucleotides) under actinobacterium MS-B-35. RNAcentral's name for it is "bacterial SSU rRNA". It matches the Rfam family "Bacterial small subunit ribosomal RNA", at positions 150 to 725 of the family's 1533-position model. The record is from RNAcentral. Lineage: Bacteria; Bacillati; Actinomycetota; Actinomycetes.